Molecule: ribosomal RNA, 279 nt
Filed under: Campylobacter fetus subsp. testudinum
Lineage: Bacteria; Pseudomonadati; Campylobacterota; Epsilonproteobacteria; Campylobacterales; Campylobacteraceae
Description: partial 23S ribosomal RNA
Rfam family: Bacterial large subunit ribosomal RNA
Source: RNAcentral
AAAGGUAAGCUACUAAGAGCAAAUGGUGGAUGCCUUGGCUAGUAGAGGCGAUGAAAGACGUGCCAGGCUGCGAUAAGUCUCGGGGAGCCGUCAAGGGGCUUUGAUCCGGGAAUUUCUGAAUGGGGCAACCCAGUAUAUAGUGAUAUAUACUACCGCAAUGCGGAGCUAACGUUGGGAAUUGAAACAUCUUAGUACCAACAGGAAAAGAAAUCAAAAGAGCUUACGCUAGUAGCGGCGAGCGAACGCGUAAGAGGGCAAACAGUAGUUUACUAACGGGGU